Molecule: ribosomal RNA, 253 nt
Filed under: uncultured bacterium
Lineage: Bacteria
Description: partial 16S ribosomal RNA
Rfam family: Bacterial small subunit ribosomal RNA
Source: RNAcentral
UACAGAGGUCUCAACCGUUGUUCGGAUUCAUUGGGCGUAAAGGGUGCGUAGGCGGUCGCGCAAGUCGGAUGUGAAAUCUUAGGGCUCAACCCUGAAACUGCAUUCGAUACUGCGUGGCUUGAGUACUGGAGGGGAGACUGGAAUUCCUGGUGUAGCGGUGAAAUGCGCAGAUAUCAGGAGGAACACCGGCGGCGAAGGCGGGUCUCUGGGCCAUAACUGACGCUGAGGAGCGAAAGCGUGGGGAGCAAACAGG